CCUACGGGUGGCAGCAGUGGGGGAUAUUGCACAAUGGGGGAAACCCUGAUGCAGCGACGCCGCGUGGGUGAAGAAGCGCCUCGGCGCGUAAAGCCCUGUCAGCAGGGAAGAAAAUGACGGUACCUGUAGAAGAAGCCCCGGCUAACUACGAGCCAGCAACCGCGGUAAUACGUAGGGUGCAAGCGUUAUCCGGAUUUACUGGGUGUAAAGGGGGCGCAGACGGCGGUGAAAGCCAGGAGUGAAAGCCCGGGGCCCAACCCCGGGACUGCACUUGGAACUGGGUGGCUAGAGUGCAGGAGGGGCAGGCGGAAUGCCGGGUGUAGCGGUGAAAUGCGUAGAUAUCAGGAGGAACACCGGUGGCGAAGGCGGCCUGCUGGACUGCAACUGACGUUGAGGCCCGAAAGCGUGGGGAGCAAACAGGAUUAGAUACCCUAGUAGUC
This 440-nucleotide ribosomal RNA is filed under the name uncultured bacterium. RNAcentral describes it as "partial 16S ribosomal RNA". It matches the Rfam family "Bacterial small subunit ribosomal RNA", at positions 338 to 795 of the family's 1533-position model. The record is from RNAcentral.